RNAcentral lists this long non-coding RNA (965 nucleotides) under Homo sapiens (human). Its description in RNAcentral is "HSALNT0265074". Lineage: Eukaryota; Metazoa; Chordata; Mammalia; Primates; Hominidae. The record is from RNAcentral.
CAUCAGUGGCACCGUUGGAGCUGUGUCUACCCCACGGGUUGGAGGAAACUAUCCCACCUGGAUAUGAAGUCUUGAGCAAGCCACAGGCAUCUGUUUAGACACACACACAAAUCAAGUUUGAAGAGUUAUGAAAAGGAAACCGCUCCCUGCGAUGUCUGUGAUGUGUGUGCCCGCACACGUACACACGCCUGCCUCUCCUCCCAGCCUGCUCAGUCCUGUCCACCUAACCAUCCUCUAGGACCUUCUCCUCAUGUUGGCGAGAGAAUUCUUAGGAGUUGCCUUCCUUUUUACAGACAGUGUCUGACCUGAGCGAUCACAGCUUGUCUGUCUGACCUCAGUGGAGCUUCUUAAACACAGUUGGCCUCUACCUGCCUGGAUGUCAGAAAGGCGGCUGUGAUGAAAAUGGCUUCCACCUUCAUCAAGGACAUAACAAGCACCAGGCAACCAGCAGUGCCCAAGAGAGAGAGGCGGCUCUGUGCUUCAUCUCCACUGACUGGUCAAAAGGGCAGCUACACUCAAGGUGGAAUUUACACAGUGACUAAAACUGAUGCUGCGCACAUUCCUUGAGUCAAACGGACCGCUAACCAUUGUGAGAUGGCAGAAAUGUCGCCUUUCCUCUCCAAACCCCAGUUUCCUGAAUAGUAAAAUGGAAAAGAUACAAACUAACUAACUCGUAGCAGCAUAGGGAGAAAUAAACUCAAAAGCUAACAAAAUGUGAGGUAUUUGCUGUUUCAUUAUUUUUAUUUUAUUUAUUUUAUUAAGAGACAGGAAUGGCCUUGCUCUGUCGCCCAGGAUGGAGUGCAGUGGCGCAAUUGUUACUGGUGGUGAAUCCCUACAGGUCUGCAGCAACCUCGAUUCUUGCCUCCUCAGAAGAAAGAAUUCAAAUGAGGCGCAUAAGGCAGAAGGAGAGAACAAAGCAAGUUUUAGAGCAGGAGUGAAAGUUUAUUAAAAAGUUUUCUGGCAGG